ACCCACUUUGACAACAUAGAAUUGUUUUCCCUCCUAAUCUAUAAUUUCCCCCCAAAACCAAUUUCCCUCCCCCAAAAUCUUCACGUCUGGCUUAAUUUGGGGUAACCAACUAAUCCUAAAAAAAUUCACGCAUACAUAGGAAGACAUCUCCCUCUCUCUCCCUUUCUUGCAGAGAUUCAGUCACACACACAAGAUCCAGCAUCUCAUUCUGGCCACUGAACUUUCUCUCCAUCGGUCUCUUCAUCGUUUAUUCACUUCGCGCUCAUUCUGAGGGAUGUUCAGAUGUUCCUUGUCCUGUUCGGACGGUUUUGACGGGAUUUCUGGGCCGAACAGGACUUGCAGAAAAAAAGGUGAAUAAUGCGGCCCCGAGUCACCCUUUGGUGGCUCACUUAGUCACUUACAUCUGAAACAAGCAUUUACAUUGUGGACACAUUAGGCCGUAAUAUUACGGUUGGAGAGGCUGAAAGAAGCAGAGUAACAAUUAUAGAGCUGCUACAACAGAGCCCAGAACAAGAUGCUGCAAGUGUACUGUUUUCUUCAACUAUAACCAACAAAAGGAAUUCUGUGAAGGUGAGUGUAGAGUUGGUGGUUGAGGCUGCGAAUCUCGAGUUUGCUAGCCAGCCGUUUGAGGUGCUGUACCACCCUCGCACAAGCAUGCCUGAGUUCUGAGUGAAAGCGUCAACUGUAAACGCAGCAAUGCGGUUUAAGUGGUCUCCAGAAAUAAGUCAAGAUGGCUUUAGAUAAAAAGGAUUAGUCGCGAAUUAGCUGGUUCAUGGGCACGAUUUCUUUGUUUGAUGUCAAAGAACAGUUUCGUUGGCCGAAUUCACCUUGGAGGCUUCUUGAGGGAUACUCUUUAUACCGUUAGCUUUAUGAGUGAGAUAUUAAUUAACAUGUAUUUAUAAGUGAGAUAUUAUUGAUUAUGUAUGAAUUAUAACUAAACCGAAUGUUGAAAGAAACAAAGUAAAAUGAAAAGUUGAAACAAAAUGGAGAUUAGGUGUGCAGGGACCGAAUUUAACAUAGACUAAUAGUCUAAAGCCAUUGUUUUGUGUUCAUAUAGAAAUUCGUUGUGGCCAGUGACACAUAGAGGUGCACAAACUGGGUAAUUUUAAUAACCGGUUUCGGUUUCACGUUUUAACGGUUGGAACGGGUUCUAGUUCCGGUUAUUUGACCAAAAAACUAUACCCUAUGUGCACGGUUCCGGGUAAAGUUCGCUUUCGGUUCUUAAGAAACCGAAUAUUAAAAUACCCUAUUUUUGGGUUUUUCUAUACCUUAUUUCCGAGUUUUUAGUACUCUAUUUCCAGGUUUAGUAAUACUCUAUUGCGUUUGUAUUACCUUAUUUUUUUGACUUUUUGUUUAUUAUAAUUAUUAUUGUUAUUGGUAAAUAUGCAUUGUA
This 1393-nucleotide long non-coding RNA is filed under the name Helianthus annuus (common sunflower). RNAcentral describes it as "hypothetical non coding rna". The record is from RNAcentral. Lineage: Eukaryota; Viridiplantae; Streptophyta; Magnoliopsida; Asterales; Asteraceae.